CUUGCACUCAGCUGACGACCGGCGCACGGGUGCGUAACGCGUAUGCAAUCUACCUCUUACUGAGGGAUAGCCCAUGGAAACGUGGAUUAAUACCUCAUAGUAUUAUAGACUGGCCUCAGUUUAUGAUUAAAGGUUACGGUAAGAGAUGAGCAUGCGUCCUAUUAGCUAGAUGGUAAGGUAACGGCUUACCAUGGCUACGAUAGGUAGGGGUCCUGAGAGGGAGAUCCCCCACACUGGUACUGAGACACGGACCAGACUCCUACGGGAGGCAGCAGUGAGGAAUAUUGGACAAUGGGCGAGAGCCUGAUCCAUCCAUGCCGCGUGCAGGAAGACGGCCCUAUGGGUUGUAAACUGCUUUUACAGAGGAAGAACCCUCCUUACGUGUAAGGAGCUGACGGUACUCUAUGAAUAAGGAUCGGCUAACUCCGUGCCAGCAGCCGCGGUAAUACGGAGGAUCCAAGCGUUAUCCGGAAUCAUUGGGUUUAAAGGGUCCGUAGGCGGGUCUAUAAGUCAGUGGUGAAAGUCUGCAGCUUAACUGUAGAACUGCCAUUGAUACUGUAGACCUUGAAUUAGUAUGAAGUGGUUAGAAUGUGUAGUGUAGCGGUGAAAUGCAUAGAUAUUACACAGAAUACCGAUUGCGAAGGCAGAUCACUAAUACUAUAUUGACGCUGAUGGACGAAAGCGUAGGUAGCGAACAGGAUUAGAUACCCUGGUAGUCUACGCCGUAAACGAUGGUUACUAGCUGUCCGGCCUAAUUGAGGG
Molecule: ribosomal RNA, 762 nt
Filed under: Zunongwangia sp. MAR_2010_128
Lineage: Bacteria; Pseudomonadati; Bacteroidota; Flavobacteriia; Flavobacteriales; Flavobacteriaceae
Description: bacterial SSU rRNA
Rfam family: Bacterial small subunit ribosomal RNA
Source: RNAcentral